Molecule: ribosomal RNA, 720 nt
Filed under: Triticum aestivum (bread wheat)
Lineage: Eukaryota; Viridiplantae; Streptophyta; Magnoliopsida; Poales; Poaceae
Description: partial small subunit ribosomal RNA
Source: RNAcentral
AUGCUGAAUGAAUCGGAGGCUGUCUGUAGCCAGACCGGAUUAAGCCCUUUCUGUGUUUCCAAUAAACCGCCAAAGGGCGAUGAUCCGUUCUGGAAGAAAAAGCCACAAGAUAAACCGACAAAAACACAAGAUAAACCGGCCAAGCCACUUCGCCCGAAGACCAAGGUUGUUAAAAAACCCGCCAAGAAAAGGACCACUGUGUCUUCCGAGCCAAAUGCUGAUGACGAUGUGGCUAAUCCGGACUCAGAGGUAGAACUUGACUCUCUUGGUUCAUUUUUCAUACACCUCAUUGACGAUGACUCUUAUCAGGACGACGCUGAAGGCAGUCAAGCUGAUGAUGUAGAGACGCAGCAACACGGAGCUCGCCGCACGACCCGGCACAGCGGCCAGGUAGUUACCUCCGCCGGUUUACCGAACACUCCGGUUCAGAAACGUGGAUUAGAGGGCACUUCCCACUCAUCUUCUGGCGAGUCAUCAACCACAAAGCUUCCACCCCUCAAAACAGUUCCUGGCACCAAGCCUAGACCCAGCAAGAAGGCUCGGUUAAAUAAACCGGCUGAUGAUAACGUGGCUGUUGAACCGGAAAAGACUCUAGAUCCAGAAGAAACUGAUGCUGAUGCCAUGCUUGAUGAUCCGCCGCCUCAAGACCAUGACUUGUUUACUAAACAGGUAGAAAUUGACACCACAGGCCAUGCUGACAAACCGACCAGCCCGGUCUGA